Molecule: long non-coding RNA, 1079 nt
Filed under: Vulpes vulpes (red fox)
Lineage: Eukaryota; Metazoa; Chordata; Mammalia; Carnivora; Canidae
Description: lncRNA (ENSVVUG00000004814.1)
Source: RNAcentral
GAAAGUUACAAAGCAGGCAGUGGACAAGUGAUCAAAAUCAUCCAGGCUGCUGAAAGCCAGACCAGCAGUUAGGGGUGGGUGAACCUCAAGAAAUGUAGAGCAAGGAGAAGCAAGGGAAGAGAUGCAUGAUAUGGUUUGAACUAUGGUUCAGCAAGUUUUCACUCACCUCCCCCUCACUUUCCCACUCUGUUGAUGUUGGGCUUUGCUGCAUGACUUUCUUUGGCUGGGUGAAUGUUAGUAGAAAUGAUACAAACAGAGACUUUAAAUGUGCUUGUGUUAUUGGGCAUACUCUUCUACAGAAUACACUCUAAGGAAAGAAUGUCUACCCACUCACUGCUGCUUCAGCCUGGGACCUAGAAUAAAGAGACCUGAGCCCCAUCCACAGCUUAGAGCCACGCCAGACCACUAGAAGCAGAGUGAACCACCCCAGAGAACUGUGGCUCGUGCUUCUGGAGCUGUGAGAGAAGAGGAGCUUUGGCCUGUGACAUGAGUAGAUGAGCCUUCACUACAGAGCAGUCCUGGAAGCGAUCACACCAUGGAAAGAUAUGAACACUCAGACCUGCCACUUGUCAGGUGAAAGUGCAGACUUUUCCCCUCAACCACAAUAUCCAGUUGAAGAUUCUAUGCUGGGAAUGAACCAUGGGACUUUGUUAUGAACCUGUGUGAAGUCCCAAAACUACUUCCCACAGGGGAUUUUCCUGGCCCUUUAUCCUCAGCUGGUGCUGAGGAACAUCUACCCACCGAGAAAUUUCCUUGUGACUCCUGCCAAGAACUGAAUUUCACCCCUCCUGCCAAGGGGGUUACAAACUCCAUAAAAAACAAUAACAAGGAGAACAACAACAAAAUGAAAUUUCUUUGAAUAUUUUGGACCAGAUCGAUCACAUUCUUUUUUGAACUCUUAUUAUAUUCACAAAAUGAUAGAGGUAAGCACUUAAUUAUUCUGUCUCACAAGUGUUAAUGUAAUCAAUCUAUUUUGUGGUACCCUUUCAGUCCUCACUCUCAUGUUUAAGAACUGUCCCUGUCUUUCCUACAUAUUUCCAGAUGAAAGAAUGGCUUCUGAGACCACAUUUGUACCUUAC